This 343-nucleotide ribosomal RNA is filed under the name uncultured bacterium. RNAcentral describes it as "bacterial SSU rRNA". It matches the Rfam family "Bacterial small subunit ribosomal RNA", at positions 8 to 334 of the family's 1533-position model. The record is from RNAcentral.
AGGGUUUGAUUCUGGCUCAGGAUGAACGCUGGCGGCGUGCCUAACACAUGCAAGUCGAACGAAGAAUAACAGCGGAAGUUUUCGGAUGGAAGCGGUUAUUCUGAGUGGCGGACGGGUGAGUAACGCGUGGAUAACCUGCCUCAUACAGGGGGACAACAGUUAGAAAUGACUGCUAAUACCGCAUAAGCGCACGAGAUCGCAUGGUCUUGUGUGAAAAACUCCGGUGGUAUGAGAUGGAUCCGCGUCUGAUUAGCUAGUUGGUAGGGUAACGGCCUACCAAGGCGACGAUCAGUAGCCGACCUGAGAGGGUGACCGGCCACAUUGGGACUGAGACACGGCCCAA